RNAcentral lists this ribosomal RNA (253 nucleotides) under uncultured bacterium. RNAcentral's name for it is "partial 16S ribosomal RNA". It matches the Rfam family "Bacterial small subunit ribosomal RNA", at positions 524 to 776 of the family's 1533-position model. The record is from RNAcentral.
UACGAAGGGGGCUAGCGUUGCUCGGAAUUACUGGGCGUAAAGCGCACGUAGGCGGUCUUUUAAGUCGGGGGUGAAAUCCUGGAGCUCAACUCCAGAACUGCCUUCGAUACUGGAAGACUUGAGUCCGGGAGAGGUGAGUGGAACUGCGAGUGUAGAGGUGAAAUUCGUAGAUAUUCGCAAGAACACCAGUGGCGAAGGCGGCUCACUGGCCCGGUACUGACGCUGAUGCACGAAAGCUAGGGGAGCAAACAGG